AGCGAACGCUGGCGACAGGCCUAACACAUGCAAGUCGAACGAACCCUUCGGGGUUAGUGGCGGACGGGUGAGUAACACGUGGGAACGUACCUUUAGGUUCGGAACAACACAGGGAAACUUGUGCUAAUGCCGAAUGUGCCCUUCGGGGGAAAGAUUUAUCGCCUUUAGAGCGGCCCGCGUCUGAUUAGCUUGUUGGUGAGGUAAAGGCUCACCAAGGCUUCGAUCAGUAGCUGGUCUGAGAGGAUGAUCAGCCACACUGGGACUGAGACACGGCCCAGACUCCUACGGGAGGCAGCAGUGGGGAAUCUUGCGCAAUGGGCGAAAGCCUGACGCAGCCAUGCCGCGUGAAUGAUGAAGGUCUUAGGAUUGUAAAAUUCUUUCACCGGGGAAGAUAAUGACGGUACCCGGAGAAGAAGCCCCGGCUAACUUCGUG
This 433-nucleotide ribosomal RNA is filed under the name uncultured bacterium. RNAcentral's name for it is "bacterial SSU rRNA". It matches the Rfam family "Bacterial small subunit ribosomal RNA", at positions 29 to 507 of the family's 1533-position model. The record is from RNAcentral.